RNAcentral lists this transfer RNA (88 nucleotides) under Caudoviricetes sp. RNAcentral's name for it is "tRNA-Ser". It matches the Rfam family "tRNA". Rfam says of the family: Transfer RNA (tRNA) molecules are approximately 80 nucleotides in length. Their secondary structure includes four short double-helical elements and three loops (D, anti-codon, and T loops). Lineage: Duplodnaviria; Heunggongvirae; Uroviricota; Caudoviricetes. The record is from RNAcentral.
GGAGAGUUGGGUGAGCGGUCGAAACCAGAGUCCUGCUAAGACUCCGAACCUCAAAAGGGUUCCGCUAGUUCGAAUCUAGCACUCUCCA